GAGCUCCAUGUGGUGGAACUCUGACUCAGUCACGAGGGGAAUUUUUCAGCCCCAAUUAUCCCAAUAAUUAUCCCAAUAAUGCAAACUGCACAUGGAGCCUGCUGGCUGGAGAACUGCAGGUGGUUUCAUUAAACUUCACGUUCGUCGCUUUGGAGUCAUGCUGUGACUUUAUCCGCGUGUACAACGGUCCGACUGCUCAGCAUUCACUUUUGGGUUCUGUGACUGGAAAUCAGAGAGCUACCUUCAACUCCAGCAGCAGAUACAUGACCGUCGUUUUCUCCAGUGACUACAGCGUGACUCCACAAGGUUUUCGGGCUGAAUGGGCUUUCAAAAAUUACAUUAGCUGCAGGGAUCACUGUGGUUAUAAUGGUACGCUCUGUUCCUGCACCAGCUCUUGUCAGUCCUAUGGAAACUGCUGCAAUGACUAUUACGAUUAUUGUUUCCCCACCACCACAACCACCACCACCACCACCACAAGAACAACACGAGGUAAAAAUGUAGUUCUCUUUAACCGGUGUAUUCUCAGUAAAACUGCUCUGUCUCCUCCAUUAUUUCUCUUUAUUUGGAUCUAGAAAUCGUUUCUGUUUCUCCAUUCUAGACCUUCUUCCAUUCUUUAGUUUCCUAUUUACUUAAACGUCCCUAACUGAAUAUUUUCUCACUCUGUUUAA
This is a long non-coding RNA of Ictalurus furcatus (blue catfish), 668 nucleotides long. RefSeq lists it as uncharacterized. NCBI's taxonomy places the organism in Eukaryota, Metazoa, Chordata, Actinopteri, Siluriformes, Ictaluridae. The transcript has 4 exons. The record is from RefSeq and is a predicted model, not a curated record.